Vidua macroura (Pin-tailed whydah) is the source of this 760-nucleotide long non-coding RNA. RefSeq lists it as uncharacterized. The transcript is spliced from 3 exons. Lineage: Eukaryota; Metazoa; Chordata; Aves; Passeriformes; Viduidae. The record is from RefSeq and is a predicted model, not a curated record.
GAGAGGAGGGUCAGGACAGCAAGGAAGUGAUCCUGCUUUAAAAAUAUGCCUUGUUCCCAUUUCUAAGUGAAUCCUGGUUUCUCCUGCUGCUGCUGCUGCUUGACACCAUCGAGCCACAGGAAAACAACCAAGAACCCUGUGGAUUAUUCAGGAAACAGCAGCAGAAUUCAUGGUUUGGGCUGGAAGAGCCCUUAAGGAUCAUCCAGUUCCACUCCCAACCUGCCAGAAGCCCUGAGCUCCACCCAGCCUGGCUUUGGAGCCCCUCAGUGCUGCUCUCUCUCACCCCACGCAGGUGUGGGGGGCCAGGGGAUGCAGAUGCCAAGGAAAUUGUUGAGCUCUUUUAAAAAGCAACAGAGCCAGACUGGUGAAGGAACCAAGAGGCACCACUGUAAAACUGUCAUUCCUCUGUUCCCUGUGCUGCUGGGACUUGGCAUCAGCUCCUGGCCUCUGUUCUAGGUAGCCUCUCAAGGCACCAUGGGGAGAGAAAUCUCAGCAUUGCUGCCCCUGGGGAGCCCCCGGGCACUGACCUUGACCCCAGGGAACUCCUCAGGCACUGACCUUGACCCCAGGGAACUCCUCAGGCACUGACUCUACCCCAGGGAGCCCCCUGGGCACUGGUCCUGCCCCCAGGGAGCACCAAGAGAGCCCCCAGGGAACUCCUCAGGGACUGACCCUGCCCCCAGGCACUGACCCUGCCCCCAGGGAGCUCCCUGUCCCUGCCUUUGCUCUGGGCACUGACCCUGCCCUGCCCCUGCCUUUG